GACGGGUGAGUAACACGUGGGUAACCUACCUAUAAGACUGGGAUAACUCCGGGAAACCGGGGCUAAUACCGGAUAAUAUUUUGAACCGCAUGGUUCGAUAGUGAAAGACGGUUUCGGCUGUCACUUAUAGAUGGACCCGCGCCGUAUUAGCUAGUUGGUAAGGUAACGGCUUACCAAGGCGACGAUACGUAGCCGACCUGAGAGGGUGAUCGGCCACACUGGAACUGAGACACGGUCCAGACUCCUACGGGAGGCAGCAGUAGGGAAUCUUCCGCAAUGGGCGAAAGCCUGACGGAGCAACGCCGCGUGAGUGAUGAAGGUCUUCGGAUCGUAAAACUCUGUUGUUAGGGAAGAACAAAUUUGUUAGUAACUGAACAAGUCUUGACGGUACCUAACCAGAAAGCCACGGCUAACUACGUGCCAGCAGCCGCGGUAAUACGUAGGUGGCAAGCGUUAUCCGGAAUUAUUGGGCGUAAAGCGCGCGUAGGCGGUUUCUUAAGUCUGAUGUGAAAGCCCACGGCUCAACCGUGGAGGGUCAUUGGAAACUGGGAAACUUGAGUGCAGAAGAGGAGAGUGGAAUUCCAUGUGUAGCGGUGAAAUGCGCAGAGAUAUGGAGGAACACCAGUGGCGAAGGCGGCUCUCUGGUCUGUAACUGACGCUGAUGUGCGAAAGCGUGGGGAUCAAACAGGAUUAGAUACCCUGGUAGUCCACGCCGUAAACGAUGAGUGCUAAGUGUUAGGGGGUUUCCG
Molecule: ribosomal RNA, 749 nt
Filed under: Mammaliicoccus sciuri
Lineage: Bacteria; Bacillati; Bacillota; Bacilli; Caryophanales; Staphylococcaceae
Description: bacterial SSU rRNA
Rfam family: Bacterial small subunit ribosomal RNA
Source: RNAcentral